AUUGAACGCUGGCGGCAUGCCUUACACAUGCAAGUCGAACGGUAACAGGUUAAGCUGACGAGUGGCGAACGGGUGAGUACUAUAUCGGAACGUGCCCAGUAGUGGGGGAUAGCCCGGCGAAAGCCGGAUUAAUACCGCAUACGACCUACGGGCGAAAGGGGGGGAUCGCAAGACCUCUCGCUAUUGGAGCGGCCGAUAUCAGAUUAGGUAGUUGGUGGGGUAAAGGCCUACCAAGCCUGCGAUCUGUAGUUGGUCUGAGAGGACGACCAGCCACACUGGGACUGAGACACGGCCCAGACUCCUACGGGAGGCAGCAGUGGGGAAUUUUGGACAAUGGGCGCAAGCCUGAUCCAGCAAUGCCGCGUGCAGGAAGAAGGCCUUCGGGUUGUAAACUGCUUUUGUCAGGGAAGAAAGCCUGUGGGUUAAUACCUCGUGGGGAUGACGGUACCUGAAGAAUAAGCACCGGCUAACUACGUGCCAGCCGCCGCCGUAA
This 493-nucleotide ribosomal RNA is filed under the name uncultured bacterium. RNAcentral's name for it is "partial 16S ribosomal RNA". It matches the Rfam family "Bacterial small subunit ribosomal RNA", at positions 30 to 523 of the family's 1533-position model. The record is from RNAcentral.